RNAcentral lists this ribosomal RNA (601 nucleotides) under Micrococcus luteus. Its description in RNAcentral is "bacterial SSU rRNA". It matches the Rfam family "Bacterial small subunit ribosomal RNA", at positions 84 to 699 of the family's 1533-position model. Lineage: Bacteria; Bacillati; Actinomycetota; Actinomycetes; Micrococcales; Micrococcaceae. The record is from RNAcentral.
UGGGUGGAUUAGUGGCGAACGGGUGAGUAACACGUGAGUAACCUGCCCUUAACUCUGGGAUAAGCCUGGGAAACUGGGUCUAAUACCGGAUAGGAGCGCCCACCGCAUGGUGGGUGUUGGAAAGAUUUAUCGGUUUUGGAUGGACUCGCGGCCUAUCAGCUUGUUGGUGAGGUAAUGGCUCACCAAGGCGACGACGGGUAGCCGGCCUGAGAGGGUGACCGGCCACACUGGGACUGAGACACGGCCCAGACUCCUACGGGAGGCAGCAGUGGGGAAUAUUGCACAAUGGGCGCAAGCCUGAUGCAGCGACGCCGCGUGAGGGAUGACGGCCUUCGGGUUGUAAACCUCUUUCAGUAGGGAAGAAGCGAAAGUGACGGUACCUGCAGAAGAAGCACCGGCUAACUACGUGCCAGCAGCCGCGGUAAUACGUAGGGUGCGAGCGUUAUCCGGAAUUAUUGGGCGUAAAGAGCUCGUAGGCGGUUUGUCGCGUCUGUCGUGAAAGUCCGGGGCUUAACCCCGGAUCUGCGGUGGGUACGGGCAGACUAGAGUGCAGUAGGGGAGACUGGAAUUCCUGGUGUAGCGGUGGAAUGCGCAGAUAUCA